RNAcentral lists this unclassified non-coding RNA (355 nucleotides) under fungal sp. Its description in RNAcentral is "partial internal transcribed spacer region". The stretch from base 1 to 46 matches the Rfam family "Eukaryotic small subunit ribosomal RNA", at positions 1786 to 1831 of the family's 1831-position model. Lineage: Eukaryota; Fungi. The record is from RNAcentral.
AAGUCGUAACAAGGUUUCCGUAGGUGAACCUGCGGAAGGAUCAUUAACACGUAUCCAAACGUUAAAACCCCCCCCGUGAACCUUCAUCCUGCUCUUGUAACCCGCGUAGUUCGCAAUCUCUGAUAAAUCAUAGCCCGGAAAGUUGUAGUGAUUCAGAGACCUCUGGCUACGUGCGAACAUUGGAACAGUUACAAUCGAGCGGUAGUUCUAUAGGCAAUGUUUCCCCAAGCAGUCGGCAGGAGCUUUGCCAAGGGUCCCCAUGCCCCCUAAUAACCCCACAGUUUAAUGAGAAGCUCAAUGUAAUACAUUGGGUAAAAAAACCGAACAACUGUUAACAAUGGAUAUCUUGGUUCUC